Molecule: unclassified non-coding RNA, 2381 nt
Filed under: Hevea brasiliensis (rubber tree)
Lineage: Eukaryota; Viridiplantae; Streptophyta; Magnoliopsida; Malpighiales; Euphorbiaceae
Source: RNAcentral
UGGCCUGAUCCAGUACUGCGCUUCCAAACCACGACAUCUUCUGGGUCAAAGUGAAGCCCAUAGUGAUCAAUCCAAUUGAUCGGCGCCCAUACUAACAGGUCAUCGAAAUUAACAUGGGAUUCAAGUCAUGUACAGUUACACGCAAAGCAUUGCCAGUCACACUAUAACAUUUUGUUUGCUAAGCCUUAGGCACGUUUUGUGCAAGCUUGUCAUCCAGUGCAACAGGAGAUUCAUUAAUGACAAGAUUUUAUAUGCAUAACGCUGUUCUAUACAAAUUCCAAAUAUACUAAGAAAAGUUAAAAGAGAAGAAGAAACAUACACGUUAAAUGAACAACUAUAUGUGAAGACUUAUUUCAUAAUUACAGGUUCCACAAACGCAAAUGCACAAACGUGAAUGAAUAACGUAACCCGCACCAAUUCCCUAUCGUGCAAGAUAACCAACCACUUACUAUAAACAUUUUCAGAAUUGGUACCCUAAUCUCUUCUCCAUCCAACUGAUAAUGUCCUGUCCAAUCUCUUCGCGUUCUGGCUCAAAGAGAAGGUCAUGCAAGAAGCCAUCAUAGAGCUUUAUGUCUUUGAACAUAGAGGCUGCCUCAUUGUACAAAUCCUGGGAUGCUAGUGGAUCUGUCACUUUGUCAGCAGUUCCAUGGAGAACAAAGAAUGGGACAGUCACGAACUUGAAGUUACGCAUCAAGUAUGAGGAUAUACGCAAUAUCUCAUGGCCUGUUCGGACCCUUAUGGGCCCCGUAUAUACCAAUGGAUCAGAGUACUUGGCCAGAAGUGCAACAGGAUCCCUGGAAACUGGAAUGCCCCUUUUGUUUGCUCCUUUAAAUUGGAACCGUGGGACAAUCAGAGAAAAAAUAGGAGCCACAGCCCCGACAAUAGGAUGGGCUGGCUUAACACGCAAAGCUGGCGAGGUCAGGACAAUCCCCUCCAACAUCUCUUCAAUGCGAGGACACGUGGCUGCCUUUAAAACCACAGCCCCUCCGGUUGAGUGACCAAAAAGGAAGCAUCGUACCCCAGGGUGCUCUGAAUUGAUCUUUUCCAAGAAAGCCCCAGUGUCUGCUACGACAUGGUCUAGCGAAGGAACAUAUCCAUGCAGUCCAUCACUCCCGCCGUGACCUAUCCAAUCCAUUGCAUAGACUCCAAAGUUGCAUGAGGUAAGCUGCUUAGCAAAUUGACCAUACCUUCCACUGAAAAUGAAAAACAGAAAAAUAAAUGUUAAAAAUGUUUAAAAAAUAGAGUUAACCAUGGAUAGGCUUCAGAAGAUACAUUUCUGAUAAUCAAGUAAUUCUGAGAACUGACAGCUACUACUUAACCCGUUAAAUAUGAUGGUCAAAUUCAAUCUGCAAAAGAAAUCUCCAGUACGUAUGAAAAUGAAAUAUUAAUAUUACCUGUGCUCAUUAAGCCCAUGAAUAAUGAUCAAAAUGCCCCUGAAAUCACAAAGCAGUUGCCCUGAGGCCUCAGUACCGAAUUAAGAGAAGCAAUAACAACAUAGCACAAACUCAGAAAGUAAAACUAUACAUGAUAAAGAUGUGAGGAAGGAAAAGCACAAAAAUCAAAGCGAAGCAGCACCAUCCCUUUAUCCUUUCAUUUCAUUACUCUAUCCUUUCAUUUCAUGUAAUGCCUGGCGUGCCAGUACAUCAUUAGAGAACAAAAAUAUUUUCCAUUACUAAGUAACAACAUACAUUAUUUGCAGGAAGAACAGUAACAUAUGUGUUGUACAGUGUACAUACACGUAGGGGAAAAAAAAAAAAAAGUAUCAACUCGAGUUAAUUUCAAAACGAACGCUCAGACGAGAUCAUUUUUGGUAAAAUUGGCAAGAGGAAAAAUCAUAACACCAAAAAUGUGUCCAAGGCAUGACUGAGACAAGGUUGUUAGAAAUGAAUAAAGAAAUUCGACCCUUUUAGUUUAUACAUCUAUCAAAGCAAACCCAAUUCGGAAUUUAAACACCAAGAAUCUCAACGUAGUCGGAAAAUUAGAGAAUUUGUUCUAUUUCAUUUAAUAGCUAGCUGUAUCCUAUAAGCAGUAAUAAUUAACUCAAAAUCAAACCAUAAAAAAAGACAAUCAAAAGGCAACUUUUGAGAACUAAAAAAAUGAGAUUAAUUUUUCUGCACUAUAAUCCAAAGCCGCAAGCUAACUGCGGACGCCAUCUUGAAUUCAAAUGGUUACGUAAUUUGCGUUAGUUCAACGAGCUAGGCCACAAAAAAAUCUAAUCAAAUUCAAUUGAGUGGAAGCUAGCUCUCUCAAGACCUGAACACAAUCGAGUAUAAUACGAAAAAGGAUAAAAUCGAAGGGCCAUUUCCUGGUCAAGCCACCCAAAAAAUCCACCACCACCACACGAAACCAUCUAAACACAAGCACGUUUUUCUCAACAAAAG